GGACUCGCACAAGCGGUGGAGCAUGUGGUUUAAUUCGACGCAACGCGAAAAACCUUACCAGGUCUUGACAUCCCUCUGACGUCACUAGAGAUAGUGAUUCCCUUCGGGGCAGAGGUGACAGGUGGUGCAUGGUUGUCGUCAGCUCGUGUCGUGAGAUGUUGGGUUAAGUCCCGCAACGAGCGCAACCCUCAUCGUUAGUUGCUAACAUUAAGUUGAGAACUCUAACGACCGAUGCCAGUGACAAACUGGAGGAAGGUGGGG
This 261-nucleotide ribosomal RNA is filed under the name uncultured prokaryote. RNAcentral describes it as "partial 16S ribosomal RNA". It matches the Rfam family "Bacterial small subunit ribosomal RNA", at positions 917 to 1178 of the family's 1533-position model. The record is from RNAcentral.